GGGGACGUAGUAUAACCUGGUAGAAUUGGGGCCUCCAGAGCCUUAGAUCCGCGUUCAAAUCGCGGCGUCCCCA
Molecule: transfer RNA, 73 nt
Filed under: Candidatus Woesearchaeota archaeon
Lineage: Archaea; Nanobdellati; Candidatus Woesearchaeota
Also listed under: 1 other name
Description: tRNA-Trp
Rfam family: tRNA
About the family: Transfer RNA (tRNA) molecules are approximately 80 nucleotides in length. Their secondary structure includes four short double-helical elements and three loops (D, anti-codon, and T loops). Further hydrogen bonds mediate the characteristic L-shaped molecular structure. tRNAs have two regions of fundamental functional importance: the anti-codon, which is responsible for specific mRNA codon recognition, and the 3' end, to which the tRNAs corresponding amino acid is attached (by aminoacyl-tRNA synthetases). tRNAs cope with the degeneracy of the genetic code in two manners: having more than one tRNA (with a specific anti-codon) for a particular amino acid; and 'wobble' base-pairing, i.e. permitting non-standard base-pairing at the 3rd anti-codon position.
Source: RNAcentral